CUAAUACAUGCAAGUCGAGCGAAUGGAUUAAGAGCUUUGCUCUUAUGAAGUUAGCGGCGGACGGGUGAGUAACACGUGGGUAACCUGCCCAUAAGACUGGGAUAACUCCGGGAAACCGGGGCUAAUACCGGAUAAUAUUUUGAACUGCAUGGUUCGAAAUUGAAAGGCGGCUUCGGCUGUCACUUAUGGAUGGACCCGCGUCGCAUUAGCUAGUUGGUGAGGUAACGGCUCACCAAGGCAACGAUGCGUAGCCGACCUGAGAGGGUGAUCGGCCACACUGGGACUGAGACACGGCCCAGACUCCUACGGGAGGCAGCAGUAGGGAAUCUUCCGCAAUGGACGAAAGUCUGACGGAGCAACGCCGCGUGAGUGAUGAAGGCUUUCGGGUCGUAAAACUCUGUUGUUAGGGAA
This 411-nucleotide ribosomal RNA is filed under the name Bacillus cereus. RNAcentral's name for it is "bacterial SSU rRNA". It matches the Rfam family "Bacterial small subunit ribosomal RNA", at positions 48 to 446 of the family's 1533-position model. Lineage: Bacteria; Bacillati; Bacillota; Bacilli; Caryophanales; Bacillaceae. The record is from RNAcentral.